UUNUGAACUGGGUGGCUAGAGUAUGUCAGAGGGGGGUAGAAUUCCACGUGUAGCAGUGAAAUGCGUAGAGAUGUGGAGGAAUACCGAUGGCGAAGGCAGCCCCCUGGGAUAAUACUGACGUUCAUGCUCGAAAGCGUGGGUAGCAAACAGGAUUAGAUACCCUGGUAGUCCACGCCCUAAACGAUGUCGAUUAGCUGUUGGGCAGCUUGACUGCUUAGUAGCGUAGCUAACGCGUGAAAUCGACCGCCUGGGGAGUACGGUCGCAAGAUUAAAACUCAAAGGAAUUGACGGGGACCCGCACAAGCGGUGGAUGAUGUGGAUUAAUUCGAUGCAACGCGAAGAACCUUACCUGGUCUUGACAUGUACGGAACCUUCCAGAGACGGAAGGGUGCCUUCGGGAACCGUAACACAGGUGCUGCAUGGCUGUCGUCAGCUCGUGUCGUGAGAUGUUGGGUUAAGUCCCGCAACGAGCGCAACCCUUGUCAUUAGUUGCCAUCAUUCAGUUGGGCACUCUAAUGAGACUGCCGGUGACAAACCGGAGGAAGGUGGGGAUGACGUCAAGUCCUCAUGGCCCUUAUGACCAGGGCUUCACACGUCAUACAAUGGUCGGUACAAAGGGUAGCCAAGCCGCGAGGCGGAGCCAAUCUCAUAAAACCGAUCGUAGUCCGGAUUGCACUCUGCAACUCGAGUGCAUGAAGUCGGAAUCGCUAGUAAUCGCAGGUCAGCAUACUGCGGUGAAUACGUUCCCGGGUCUUGUACACACCGCCCGUCACACCAUGGGAGUGGGGGAUACCAGAAGUAGGUAGGGUAACCGCAAGGAGCCCG
Molecule: ribosomal RNA, 825 nt
Filed under: uncultured bacterium
Lineage: Bacteria
Description: bacterial SSU rRNA
Rfam family: Bacterial small subunit ribosomal RNA
Source: RNAcentral